UGGGGAAUAUUGCACAAUGGGCGAAAGCCUGAUGCAGCAACGCCGCGUGAGUGAUGAAGGCCUUCGGGUUGUAAAGCUCUGUCUUUUGGGACGAUAAUGACGGUACCAAAGGAGGAAGCCACGGCUAACUACGUGCCAGCAGCCGCGGUAAUACGUAGGUGGCAAGCGUUGUCCGGAUUUACUGGGCGUAAAGGAUGCGUAGGCGGAUUUUUAAGUGAGAUGUGAAAUACCCGGGCUUAACUUGGGUGCCGCAUUUCAAACUGGGAAUCUAGAGUGCGGGAGAGGAGAAUGGAAUUCCUAGUGUAGCGGUGAAAUGCGUAGAGAUUAGGAAGAACACCAGUGGCGAAGGCGAUUCUCUGGACCGUAACUGACGCUGAGGCAUGAAAGCGUGGGUAGCAAACAGGAUUAGAUACCCUGGUAGUCCACGCCGUAAACGAUGAGUACUAGGUGUAGGAGGUAUCGACCCCUUCUGUGCCGCAGUUAACACAAUAAGUACUCCGCCUGGGAAGUACGAUCGCAAGAUU
RNAcentral lists this ribosomal RNA (524 nucleotides) under uncultured bacterium. Its description in RNAcentral is "partial 16S ribosomal RNA". It matches the Rfam family "Bacterial small subunit ribosomal RNA", at positions 355 to 895 of the family's 1533-position model. The record is from RNAcentral.